Molecule: ribosomal RNA, 497 nt
Filed under: uncultured bacterium
Lineage: Bacteria
Description: partial 16S ribosomal RNA
Rfam family: Bacterial small subunit ribosomal RNA
Source: RNAcentral
GAUGAACGCUGGCGGCGUGCCUAAUACAUGCAAGUCGAGCGAACAGACGAGGAGCUUGCUCCUCUGACGUUAGCGGCGGACGGGUGAGUAACACGUGGAUAACCCACCUAUAAGACUGGGAUAACUUCGGGAAACCGGAGCUAAUACCGGAUAAUAUAUUGAACCGCAUGGUUCAAAAGUGAAAGACGGUUUUGCUGUCACUUAUAGAUGGAUCCGCGCCGCAUUAGCUAGUUGGUAAGGUAACGGCUUACCAAGGGAACGAUGCGUAGCCGACCUGAGAGGGUGAUCGGCCACACUGGAACUGAGACACGGUCCAGACUCCUACGGGAGGCAGCAGUAGGGAAUCUUCCGCCAUGGGCGAAAGCCUGACGGAGCAACGCCGCGUGAGUGAUGAAGGUCUUCGGAUCGUAAAACUCUGUUAUUAGGGAAGAACAAAUGUGUAAGUAACUAUGCACGUCUUGACGGUACCUAAUCAGAAAGCCACGGCUAACUACGUG